AUUGAACGCUGGCGGAAUGCUUUACACAUGCAAGUCGAACGGCAGCACGGACUUCGGUCUGGUGGCGAGUGGCGAACGGGUGAGUAAUAUAUCGGAACGUGCCCAGUCGUGGGGGAUAACGUAGUGAAAAUUACGCUAAUACCGCAUACGACCUACGGAUGAAAGCGGGGGAUCGCAAGACCUCGCGCGAUUGGACCGGCCGAUAUCAGAUUAGGUAGUUGGUGAGGUAAAGGCUCACCAAGCCGACGAUCUGUAGCUGGUCUGAGGGGACGACCAGCCACACUGGGACUGAGACACGGCCCAGACUCCUACGGGAGGCAGCAGUGGGGAAUUUUGGACAAUGGACGCAAGUCUGAUCCAGCCAUUCCGCGUGCAGGACGAAGGCCUUCGGGUUGUAAACUGCUUUUGUACAGAACGAAAAGGUCUCUACUAAUACUAGGGGCUCAUGACGGUACUGUAAGAAUAAGCACCGGCUAACUACGUGCCAGCCGCCGCCGUAA
This 500-nucleotide ribosomal RNA is filed under the name uncultured bacterium. Its description in RNAcentral is "partial 16S ribosomal RNA". It matches the Rfam family "Bacterial small subunit ribosomal RNA", at positions 30 to 523 of the family's 1533-position model. The record is from RNAcentral.